This 254-nucleotide ribosomal RNA is filed under the name uncultured prokaryote. RNAcentral describes it as "partial 16S ribosomal RNA". It matches the Rfam family "Bacterial small subunit ribosomal RNA", at positions 524 to 775 of the family's 1533-position model. The record is from RNAcentral.
UACGGAGGAUGCAAGCGUUAUCCGGGAUUUAUUGGGUUUAAAGGGUGCGCAGGUUGUUUGUAUAAGUCAGUGGUGAAAGUCUGUCGCUUAACGGUAGGAUUGCCAUUGAUACUGUUGGACUUGAAUAUGGAUGAGGUAGGCGGAAUGUGUAGUGUAGCGGUGAAAUGCAUAGAUAUUACACAGAACACCGAUUGCGAAGGCAGCUUACUAAUCCAUCAUUGACGAUGAGGCACGAAAGCGUGGGGAGUCAAACA